This 164-nucleotide ribosomal RNA is filed under the name Paracroton zeylanicus. Its description in RNAcentral is "5.8S ribosomal RNA". It matches the Rfam family "5.8S ribosomal RNA". From Rfam's summary of the family: 5.8S ribosomal RNA (5.8S rRNA) is a component of the large subunit of the eukaryotic ribosome. It is transcribed by RNA polymerase I as part of the 45S precursor that also contains 18S and 28S rRNA. The record is from RNAcentral. Lineage: Eukaryota; Viridiplantae; Streptophyta; Magnoliopsida; Malpighiales; Euphorbiaceae.
AAAACGACUCUCGGCAACGGAUAUCUCGGCUCUCGCAUCGAUGAAGAACGCAGCGAAAUGCGAUACUUGGUGUGAAUUGCAGAAUCCCGCGAACCAUCGAGUUUUUGAACGCAAGUUGCGCCCGAAGCCUUUCGGCCGAGGGCACGUCUGCCUGGGUGUCACGC